CAGGAAGUGACAUCAUUUUGGAGAGAAAUCAACAGUACAAACACUUAAAUCGGUUUGAUGAUAAGUUUCUGCUGACACCGACAGGUGGCAGCGCUGCACUGUUCCCGCAGACCCAUAGCAACACAUGAUGAGAACAGAGAGACAUAAACAGAGCUGCAGCGCUUACAUAAGACGGCCAGAUGCUCUCAGAGGUUCUUCUCUCUCUCUGUGUGUGUAUGUGUGUGUCUGCUUAACUACCUACUCACAUACUUUGAGGACAGAA
Sinocyclocheilus anshuiensis is the source of this 262-nucleotide long non-coding RNA. RefSeq lists it as uncharacterized. The record is from RefSeq and is a predicted model, not a curated record. The transcript is spliced from 3 exons. Lineage: Eukaryota; Metazoa; Chordata; Actinopteri; Cypriniformes; Cyprinidae.